This 407-nucleotide ribosomal RNA is filed under the name uncultured bacterium. Its description in RNAcentral is "partial 16S ribosomal RNA". It matches the Rfam family "Bacterial small subunit ribosomal RNA", at positions 30 to 526 of the family's 1533-position model. The record is from RNAcentral.
AUUGAACGCUAGCGGCAUGCCUUACACAUGCAAGUCGAACGGAGUGGCGAACGGGUGAGUAAUGUAUCGGAAUGUGCCCAGUAGCGGGGGAUAACUACGCGAAAGGGUAGCUAAUACCGCAUACUAUUGGAGCGGCCUAUUUCGGAUUGGCUAGUUGGUGGGGUAACGGCUCACCAAGGCGACGAUCCGUAGCUGGUUUGAGAGGAUGACCAGCCACACUGGAACGGAGACACGGCCCAGACUCCUACGGGAGGCAGCAGUGGGGAAUUUUGGACAAUGGGGGAAAGCCUGAUCCAGCCAUCCCGCGUGUGGGAUGAAGGCCUUCGGGUUGUAAAGCACUUUUGGCAGGGAGGCGGUACCUGCAGAAUAAGCACCGGCUAACUACGUGCCAGCAGCCGCGGUAAUAC